Long non-coding RNA from Aedes albopictus (Asian tiger mosquito), 1391 nucleotides. RefSeq lists it as uncharacterized. The record is from RefSeq and is a predicted model, not a curated record. The transcript has 4 exons. NCBI's taxonomy places the organism in Eukaryota, Metazoa, Arthropoda, Insecta, Diptera, Culicidae.
GUAAGAGCAAGAUGCAGCAACUUCGAGCUAGUUUAACCUGCGUCGUUGAACAGGACUAAUGUAAAAAUUGUUUUUGUAACUUUAUCAUCAUCGUCGCAUCGAAAUCUAGUGCUUAUCGCCGACAGUAUUGUACGUGGAUUUGCUAAGUGAACACGACGAAUCAGAACCGUCGUUUUUGGAAUCACCGUUCGAAUCGCCGAUGGAAUCGUCGUUCGAUUGCAGAGCGAGACAGCAACAAAACUGACACAUCGCUUUGACAUAUUUAACGUACACGGAACCGCCAAACUACCCAAAAUUGAGUUCUUUUGACGCAAUCCCAUAGUAUGGCCCAAUAAGCCAAAAUUUGAGUAAAUCGAUUAAACUCACGCUAGGUAGUUACCUUUACCUCCAGCUAAAAAAUAUACUCAAGAGUAAGUAAAUUCAACCCAAGACCACCCUCAUUCAACCCAAAUUUGAGUAAAGCCACAUUUACCCAAAAUUGGCUUAUUGGCCUCAAGGACCCCCGUUGGAUAGACGCAUCUCUGUUUAUUUUUGACAACAUCGAUGGGAAAGAGAGGGAAAACAACCUAAUUUUGGGUAGCGAGUUUAUUCGAUAUACUCAAUUUUGAGUAAAAUUGACCCAAAAAUUAGGUAGUUUGAAUUUUCCGUGUAGGAGCAACACGUGCGUGAUAUUCUCUCUCUCUGUUGGUGUGGUUUGUUUUGAUUCAAUCUGACAUUUCUUUUAUGCUGCUCAUGCUGCCGAUGCUGCCAGCUGAUGGUGCCCAAACAUGGAAGAGCAAGUAGAUCAGAUUUUGGAUAAAGUAAUGGCCACUCCUGGAAAUCUUGGCUGUCUCUUGGCGAACAAUCAGGGACUUUGCAUUGGCGUGUUCAGUAACAGAAAAAAUGAAGGAGCAAGAAGAACGACUCGUGACGCUGACCGAGUUAACGGUCGAUAUUUUAAGUGUACCGGUCGGAUUGUUGCAGUUUUUUAAGGUAACGUAUUUCAAUCUUUUUCCUUUGCGUUUUAACAACCGAUAUAUUUCAACAGAUUGAGUUUACGACGCAUCAAAGCUGGUCAGCUUUUGUGAAGCUCGCGUCACCGUGAUCUUCCGGAGAGAAAGCUCCGGCACGCAGAAGCCCGACGUCUCAGUAAAAGGCACCUCGUUUGCACCACGGAAGCGCCAGAAGCAAUAGUUUGCGAAAUUCCACCAGAGGCAGGCCCCCACUCUUCUUAAUCUACCGUCAGAAGUUCUCGUUCAUUCGCCCACACCGAAUUGCUGUUUCGUUUGGCCCGGAUCUGCUAACUCUGUCGGAAACCCGGAAAAUUGCUUUUGGAAUGAUCCAAGCAAUAUAAUAUAAUUUAUAUUAACGAUAGUUUCCGUUUCUAAAUAUAUACUUUUUUAGGCUGAAAA